MicroRNA precursor from Oreochromis niloticus (Nile tilapia), 62 nucleotides. NCBI's taxonomy places the organism in Eukaryota, Metazoa, Chordata, Actinopteri, Cichliformes, Cichlidae. The record is from Ensembl.
CCAGCACGCGCCGUGUGACCCUUUAUAGACUACUAUAAAGGGUCACACGGCGCGUGCUGGUC